This 172-nucleotide ribosomal RNA is filed under the name uncultured bacterium. RNAcentral describes it as "partial 16S ribosomal RNA". It matches the Rfam family "Bacterial small subunit ribosomal RNA", at positions 335 to 524 of the family's 1533-position model. The record is from RNAcentral.
ACUCCUACGGGAGGCAGCAGUAACGAAUCUUCCGCAAUGCACGAAAGUGUGACGGAGCGACGCCGCGUGUAGGACGAAGCCCUUCGGGGUGUAAACUACUGUCAGGGGUUAGAAAGUUCUGAUCAACCCCAGAGGAAGGGACGGCUAACUCUGUGCCAGCAGCCGCGGUAAU